This is a long non-coding RNA of Peromyscus californicus insignis, 732 nucleotides long. RefSeq lists it as uncharacterized. Lineage: Eukaryota; Metazoa; Chordata; Mammalia; Rodentia; Cricetidae. The transcript is spliced from 4 exons. The record is from RefSeq and is a predicted model, not a curated record.
CCCGCCCCGGAGGCGUCUGGGUGUGCGGACCGCGCGCGCGCGCGCGCGAGUCUCGGAGGCGCACCUGUGAGGUGUUUCCCCCCCCCCCCCGGGGGAGAGGGCCGGUGGGCGCGCGCCGAGUCCGCGGCCUAGGCGCGCUCCGCAGUCGCACUUGGGAGUGAGUUGGACCGGGCGACGGUAGUGUCCCCGCACAGCCCCGGCCGAGGCCGCCCAGCAUCCCGCCGAGGUGAUGAGGACCUCCCCGCAGCCCCAGCAAGCCUGGCUGCUGCCGCCGGACGCCUCCAUUGUCUGACCACCGCCUGGCCUGGGCCGCCCCCCCCCCCCCAGCUCCCCGCAGACCUGCAAGUCCAAGAGACAUCCCUCUGGAAGAUGAGAGAGCUGCCUCUUCAGGAUCAAAAAAAAGAAAACCAGCGUGCUACUGUAUAGAGUUCCCAGGAGCAAGACUGGCUGUCCCUGGAGCCAAGGAACCUUCGUGCUAUCUCGACCUGCCAUCUGAUGGGCAGGAGGCAGAGCGACAUUCUGACUCUUCUGAGGGUGCUACCAGGACUUGCCACCAGCUGGCACCUUCUGCCCUGGACAGACAGAUCGCACUACACAGGCUUUGUUUUAUGAGUGAGAAGUAGAAGAAUACUGCACAUCGGAAAGACUCCAGGGGCUCAGAACAAAGCUUCCUCAUUCCUGCCCCUGGAAUGUUGACCACAGGGAAUCUAAAGGAAAGAAAGCUCUGUGCUG